Molecule: small nucleolar RNA, 83 nt
Organism: Raphanus sativus (radish)
Lineage: Eukaryota; Viridiplantae; Streptophyta; Magnoliopsida; Brassicales; Brassicaceae
Product: small nucleolar RNA snoR114
Exons: 1
Source: RefSeq, a predicted model, not a curated record
GAACCGUGAAGAAAUUGGCUUUAGUUAAGGUUGGGUCCUUCGCAUUCAUCUAAUUACCAGAUGAUAUAGCUGCAUCUGAGUUC